GACGAACGCUGGCGGCGUGCUUAACACAUGCAAGUCGAACGAAGAGCGACGGAAGCUUGCUUCUAUCAAUCUUAGUGGCGAACGGGUGAGUAACGCGUAAUCAACCUGCCCUUCAGAGGGGGACAACAGUUGGAAACGACUGCUAAUACCGCAUACGAUCUAACCUCGGCAUCGAGGAUAGAUGAAAGGUGGCCUCUACAUGUAAGCUAUCACUGAAGGAGGGGAUUGCGUCUGAUUAGCUAGUUGGAGGGGUAACGGCCCACCAAGGCGAUGAUCAGUAGCCGGUCUGAGAGGAUGAACGGCCACAUUGGGACUGAGACACGGCCCAGACUCCUACGGGAGGCAGCAGUGGGGAAUCUUCCGCAAUGGACGAAAGUCUGACGGAGCAACGCCGCGUGAGUGAUGACGGCCUUCGGGUUGUAAAGCUCUGUUAAUCGGGACGAAAGGCCUUCUUGCGAAUAGUGAGAAGGAUUGACGGCACCAGAAUAGAAAGCCACGGCUAACUACGUG
Molecule: ribosomal RNA, 510 nt
Filed under: uncultured bacterium
Lineage: Bacteria
Description: partial 16S ribosomal RNA
Rfam family: Bacterial small subunit ribosomal RNA
Source: RNAcentral